GAUCAUGGCUCAGAUUGAACGCUGGCGGUAUGCCUUACACAUGCAAGUCGAACGGCAGCGACGGGAGCGUUGCUCCGUGGUGGCGAGUGGCGAACGGGUGAGUAAUACAUCGGAACAUACCCUGAAGUGGGGGAUAACGUAGCGAAAGUUACGCUAAUACCGCAUAUUCUGUGAGCAGGAAAGAGGGGGAUCGCAAGACCUCUUGCUUUAGGAGCGGCCGAUGUCGGAUUAGCUAGUUGGUGAGGUAAAGGCUCACCAAGGCGACGAUCCGUAGCGGGUCUGAGAGGAUGAUCCGCCACACUGGGACUGAGACACGGCCCAGACUCCUACGGGAGGCAGCAGUGGGGAAUUUUGGACAAUGGGCGCAAGCCUGAUCCAGCCAUGCCGCGUGAGUGAAGAAGGCCUUCGGGUUGUAAAGCUCUUUCGGUGGGGAAGAAAUUGCUUCGGUUAAUACCUGGAGUAGAUGACGGUACCCGCAUAAGAAGCACCGGCUAACUACGUG
Molecule: ribosomal RNA, 502 nt
Filed under: uncultured bacterium
Lineage: Bacteria
Description: bacterial SSU rRNA
Rfam family: Bacterial small subunit ribosomal RNA
Source: RNAcentral